RNAcentral lists this ribosomal RNA (452 nucleotides) under uncultured bacterium. RNAcentral's name for it is "bacterial SSU rRNA". It matches the Rfam family "Bacterial small subunit ribosomal RNA", at positions 29 to 524 of the family's 1533-position model. The record is from RNAcentral.
AACGAACGCUGGCGGCAGGCCUAACACAUGCAAGUCGAACGAAGCCUUCGGGCUUAGUGGCGCACGGGUGCGUAACGCGUGGGAAUCUGCCCUUGGGUUCGGAAUAACAGUUAGAAAUGACUGCUAAUACCGAAUGAUGUCUUCGGACCAAAGAUUUAUCGCCCAAGGAUGAGCCCCGCGUCGGAUUAGCUAGUUGGUGAGGUAAAGGCUCACCAAGGCGACGAUCCGUAGCUGGUCUGAGAGGAUGAUCAGCCACACUGGGACUGAGACACGGCCCAGACUCCUACGGGAGGCAGCAGUGGGGAAUAUUGGACAAUGGGCGAAAGCCUGAUCCAGCAAUGCCGCGUGAGUGAUGAAGGCCUUAGGGCUGUAAAGCUCUUUUACCCGGGAUGAUAAUGACAGUACCGGGAGAAUAAGCCCCGGGCUAACUCCGUGCCAGCAGCCGCGGUAAU